This 253-nucleotide ribosomal RNA is filed under the name uncultured bacterium. Its description in RNAcentral is "partial 16S ribosomal RNA". It matches the Rfam family "Bacterial small subunit ribosomal RNA", at positions 524 to 776 of the family's 1533-position model. The record is from RNAcentral.
UACGAAGGACCCGAGCGUUAUCCGGAUUUAUUGGGUUUAAAGGGUGCGUAGGUGGGCAAGUAAGUCAGUGGUGAAAUCUCCGGGCUUAACCCGGAAACUGCCAUUGAUACUAUUUGUCUUGAAUACUGUGGAGGUCAGCGGAAUAUGUCAUGUAGCGGUGAAAUGCUUAGAUAUGACAUAGAACACCAAUUGCGAAGGCAGCUGGCUACACAAAUAUUGACACUGAGGCACGAAAGCGUGGGGAUCAAACAGG